CCUACGGGAGGCAGCAGUGAGGAAUAUUGGUCAAUGGGAGGAAUCCUGAACCAGCCAUGCCGCGUGCAGGACGACGGCUCUACGAGUUGUAAACUGCUUUUGUACCGGGGUAAAAUGCUCUACGAGUAGGGUUUUGAAAGUACGGUACGAAUAAGGAUCGGCUAACUCCGUGCCAGCAGCCGCGGUAAUACGGAGGAUCCGAGCGUUAUCCGGAUUCAUUGGGUUUAAAGGGUGCGUAGGUUGUGUUAUAAGUUAGCGGUGAAAUACCGAUGCUCAACAUCGGGGCUGCCGCUAAUACUGUAGGACUAGAGAGCGGAUGCAGCAGGCGGAAUGUGUAGUGUAGCGGUGGAAUGCGUAGAUAUCGGGAGGAACACCAGUGGCGAAGGCGGCCUGCUGGACAUUAACUGACGCUGAGGCGCGAAAGCGUGGGGAGCAAACAGGAUUAGAUACCCGUGUAGUC
RNAcentral lists this ribosomal RNA (460 nucleotides) under uncultured bacterium. RNAcentral's name for it is "partial 16S ribosomal RNA". It matches the Rfam family "Bacterial small subunit ribosomal RNA", at positions 338 to 795 of the family's 1533-position model. The record is from RNAcentral.